RNAcentral lists this long non-coding RNA (436 nucleotides) under Bos taurus (domestic cattle). RNAcentral describes it as "long non-coding RNA NONBTAT022005". Lineage: Eukaryota; Metazoa; Chordata; Mammalia; Artiodactyla; Bovidae. The record is from RNAcentral.
CUUUGAAUGAAGUCUGUGAAAUAUGAGGAAUGUCCAUUUCCCUAUCUGCUACCAAAAAUCUGCUUUGGGGCUUUUUGAGGCUUAUUACAAUGUGCAAAGGAGUAUAGUCAUGGCCUGUGUGGAUUAUUUGGAAAUUAGAUCAGACCUCUUACAAUACAGACACUGACUUCAGUGUCACCUAUAUGCCUAUUAAAAGACCCUUCAGAUCCUGUAAGUCACAUCUUCCUGCCCACAGCAUAGACUCAUACCUCUUCAUACUGAUUCAUGGAAUCAGAAAUAUUUAAUUUAUACCUACAAGAUGCCAAAUACUACUCUAGGUCCUCAAUAAUAUCUUGCUACAACUCAGCACUUAGUGAGUAUGUGGUCCAGAAGAGGAGACAAGGGGUAUAAAUUAGCAGAUGAGUGUAUGUUAAUAUACUCGUGAGUUCUCUUAAGG